GCCAUUAUUCUUUAUUCAGAAUAAAAUUCAAAAAUAUAGAGAUAAACAGAAAAAUCACCUUUUGCGAAUAGUCUGUUUAAUGGAGGCUUUGCGAUUACAAUAAUCACUACCUUCUAACAUUAAAAUGUAAGGAUGCCAACAAUAAAUCAAACCAUUAUAGAGGUUUCAGAGAGCAGGGAUCCACAGCAUCUCAAUGGACAGAUGGAGGGUCAAAUAGAGUAAGAGGAGCCCUUGGAAAGUGUCCCAGAAGUAGUGAGAAAGAGGAAAAACAGCAUUCUGACAUAACUUUGCAAAGCUUCAUUUUUUUUUUUUCUUUUUUUGUCUUUUUGCUAUUUCUUGGGCCGUUCCCUUGGCAUAUGGAGGUUCCCAGUUUUCUGCAUUUAGAGGUUGUGUUCCUCAGGGCCAGGAGGAACCUUUCCUGGUUGCCAAGCUCCUGUUUUAGAGGGAAAGUGCAGACUGAAAACCACUGAGGCCACAUUUGAGUAACAAGGGAUUUAGAUGGGAAAUCUCAGGCAUUUCCCAGCUAAAGUCUCUUAUCAAGGUCAUAAACAUUGGAGAUUGUCUUGAGGCACCGAGCUAAUAUCACCGUAUUGGUGGUAGCAAACCAAAGUCAGGUCCACUCACCAUGCACAGUAAAGCCAAUCUACUGACACUAGGUUGUGGUGCCAGGAAAGUGUAGCAUUUAUUGCAGGGAGCAAAGCAGAGUCAGGCAGCUAACGCUUCAAAGACCUGCACUCCCUGAUGGCUUCCAGGCAAAGGCUUUUAAAGACCAGAUGAGGGAGGGGGAGUGUGGGGUGCGUGCUCAGCUCAUGGACAGUCUUCCGCUUGGUGGGUGGUGAGGUCAUGGGGAGUCAACAUCCUCAACUUUCCGGUUCCACCUGGUCUAGGGUCCAUGUGGGCAGCAUAGAGUUAACGUGUACCUGGCGGGGGUUUCUGCAAAACAGCUCCAAGGAUAUGGCUCGGGAUAUUAUCUCUAACCCUUGAGGAAGAACUAAAAGUACUUGGGGGUUCCCAUCAUGGCGCAGAGGAAAUGAAUCCGACUAGGAACCAUGAGGGUGUGGGUACAAUCCCCGUCUCGCUCAGUGGGUUAAGGAUCUGGCAUUGUCAUGAGCUGUGGUGUAGGUCGCAGAUGCGGCUCAGAUCCUGAAUUGCUGUGGCUGUGGCCGGCAGCUGUAGCUUCGAUUCAACCCCUGACCUGGGAAUCUCCACGUGCCAUGCGCGUGGCCCUAAAAGCAAAAAUAAAUAAAUAAAUAAAUAAAAAUAAUAAAAGUACCUGACUUUGUUUAAUGACUCGACUGCUAUUAUUUUCUCUGGCUUGAAUGUUUUCCUUUCUGCAUUUUCUCACUUCUCUGAUUAAAUAUAUUUUUUAGAACUCAGGGAAGGCC
Molecule: long non-coding RNA, 1385 nt
Filed under: Sus scrofa (pig)
Lineage: Eukaryota; Metazoa; Chordata; Mammalia; Artiodactyla; Suidae
Description: lncRNA (ENSSSCG00060052557.1)
Source: RNAcentral